AUGGAUGUGCCAGCUUGCUUUCUUUGGAGGGUCCUAGGGGGAGAAUUAUGCAUCCCCUUGAUGUCAUCAACAUGUGAUUUAGACAACAAACUGGCAGUAAAAAUCAUUUCAUUUACAUUUUUUAUUGCUUUCAAUGUCAUUAGUUUUAUUUCUUUUACUUUGGGAUGUCAAAGAAGGAAUUGCGUCUCUCUCAGUUCAACUCUCAAAUGCAACAAAGCCACCUAUGGUAUCAUAAUAAACUGAAAUGUUUUUAUUAUCUUUUUCCACAAGGGAGGCAGUCUAAUAAUGAACACUGGCCUCCAUGCUUACCUACCUUGGGAUCUUUCUGAGCAUCAGUGUCUCGUCUACAGAGUGAAAUAAAACCACCAGGGCAAUGAAGGAAAUAAGGAGAAAAGCCACAGAACAGAGGUGUUUGGUUCAUGAGAGUCUACUUGAAUCAGAAUAUUAUUUGGGAAGAGGAGCAAAACCCAUUUUCUCUUCCCACGUUGGAUGACGUGAGCCCUGCAGUUUUAUGAACAAAGGCUUUAAAGACCAAAUUGACAUGCUUUUCCUGCCAAGAGCCAGGGAGUAAAUGUUUUCGACUUUUUGGGCCAUAGGGUCUUGGGGGCAACCACUCAGCUCUUUUUGUGGUAGUAGCAGAAAGCAGUCAUAGGUUAAGUCUGUAAAUGGACAGACCUUCUGUAUUCUGUGCGUCUGCUCACUCGCUCAGUUGUGUCCCACUCUUUUUGCGAUCCCAUGAACUGUAGCCCGCCAGGCUCCUCUGUCCAUGGAACAUCUGAUUUUCCUGGCCAUAAUACUAGAGUGGGUUGCCAUUUCCUCCUUCAGAGGAUCUUCCCAACCCAGGGAUCAAACCCACAUCCCUUGAGUCUCCUGCACUGGUGGGCGGAUUCUUUACCGCUGAUUGCGUUGAAAGCAAUAAAAUUACAUUGAAAGCAAUAAAAUUACAUUGAAAGCAAUAAAAAAUGUAAAUGAAAUGAUUGUUACUGCCAGUUUGUUGUUUAAAUCACAUGCUGAUGACAUCAAGGGGAUGCAUAAUUCUCCCCCUAGGACCCUCCAAAGAA
RNAcentral lists this long non-coding RNA (1061 nucleotides) under Capra hircus (goat). RNAcentral describes it as "lncRNA (ENSCHIG00010016589.1)". Lineage: Eukaryota; Metazoa; Chordata; Mammalia; Artiodactyla; Bovidae. The record is from RNAcentral.